CUGACAGUAGGCUUCUUUUAAGUGGAAGCAAGGACUGCACGCUGAAGGUUUGGGAUAUAAGGACACAGAAGUUAAAACAAGACCUUCCAGGCCAUGCUGAUGAGGUAUAUGCUGUUGAUUGGAGUCUGGAUGGCGAGAAGGUAGCUUCUGGAGGCAAGGAUAGGGUAGUGAAGUUAUGGAUGGGCUAGACCUAGCAGAGGAGUAUAUGGUAGAAAUUUCAAACCUAAUAAUAGUUGGCAGUUUCAAUGGACAGCAAAUGAUGUGAUGAUAUCUUGACACUGAGCAGUGGGCAGAACAGCAUGAUAAAAGAAAACUGAAAGGAAUGUCUAUAGAAUGGUCAGUGGAAGAAGCAAGCAAGCCUAUUUUCACUGUAAUUUUGCCAUCGUUGUUUGUGGUGUUUGCAGAUUGCAAAUUAAGAAUCUAGGGCCAUAAACCAUGUCAGUGAUUUAACAAAUAACAAACAGAAGUUAAAACAGGCAUCUUUUAUUUCUAGCAAAUAUUGGAAAAUCAGUCUUUCUGCUGUCAUAAAUGGAAAAGUCCAUUAUUUAUUUUUCAAUUU
RNAcentral lists this unclassified non-coding RNA (559 nucleotides) under Hevea brasiliensis (rubber tree). Lineage: Eukaryota; Viridiplantae; Streptophyta; Magnoliopsida; Malpighiales; Euphorbiaceae. The record is from RNAcentral.